Saccostrea cuccullata (small rock oyster) is the source of this 298-nucleotide long non-coding RNA. RefSeq lists it as uncharacterized. NCBI's taxonomy places the organism in Eukaryota, Metazoa, Mollusca, Bivalvia, Ostreida, Ostreidae. The record is from RefSeq and is a predicted model, not a curated record. The transcript is spliced from 2 exons.
CGCAGAAUGAGAAGGGCACAGAAACCGAAAGUUGCACAAAAAAAGUAAAUUGUAGUUUCCAUCAAAUUAGAUGAAAUGGCAUCUUUUCUGGUGCUAUUUUAUCUCUGCUUCAGCUUGGUCGAUGCAGCUCAAAAUUUUCAGGAAGUAUCUGAUUGUCCACGGAAUGCGGACACAUGGAAAAUAGAAUCGGACAAGAAAAAUUGUCAGGAGUACACGCCCGACUAUCUGUGUGCAGCGAUAGAAAACAAUGUUGGGAAAUUCGGGGAAAUAUGCACGAAAUAUGGACUCUCCCCUGGAA